RNAcentral lists this ribosomal RNA (404 nucleotides) under uncultured bacterium. RNAcentral's name for it is "bacterial SSU rRNA". It matches the Rfam family "Bacterial small subunit ribosomal RNA", at positions 355 to 776 of the family's 1533-position model. The record is from RNAcentral.
UGGGGAAUAUUGGACAAUGGGCGCAAGCCUGAUCCAGCAAUACCGCGUGAGUGAUGAAGGUCUUCGGAUUGUAAAGCUCUUUUAGUAGGGAAGAUAAUGACGGUACCUACAGAAAAAGCACCGGCACACUUCGUGCCAGCAGCCGCGGUAAUACGAAGGGUGCUAGCGUUGUUCGGAAUCAUUGGGCGUAAAGCGUACGUAGGCGGCUUGAUAAGUCAAUUGUGAAAGCCCCGAGCUCAACUCGGGAAUUGCAAUCGAAACUGUCUUGCUAGAGUUUGGUGGGGGAUGGCGGAAUUCCUAGUGUAGGGGUGAAAUCCGUAGAUAUUAGGAGGAACACCAGUGGCGAAGGCGGCCAUCUACGCCAACACUGACGCUAAGGUACGAAAGCGUGGGGAGCAAACAGG